Rhinichthys klamathensis goyatoka is the source of this 906-nucleotide long non-coding RNA. RefSeq lists it as uncharacterized. The record is from RefSeq and is a predicted model, not a curated record. NCBI's taxonomy places the organism in Eukaryota, Metazoa, Chordata, Actinopteri, Cypriniformes, Leuciscidae. The transcript is spliced from 3 exons.
UGAGAGAGAUUCUGUCGUGAGUCUCCUGAAGAGCCGAGGUCAGCGCCGCGACCCUUGACCUUUGACCUCAGACACAUCGUCCCUGCAGUGCUGGCGAUGAAACACGUCUAGUGAAGGAGGGAGACAUGUUUACACAGGACAAUGCAGUUCUUUGAAGUACCCUGGAGUACCAUGAAAAUACCAUGGCCUGAUGUUGCACGUAUGGAUGAACCAGCGAGAGCUCGAGAUAAAGGCGUCAAUAAGAAAUGGAGAAUCAAGACAGAAACUAAAAGACUCAGGAAGUCAGUGAGGGAAGUUUAGUGGUUUCUUGCGUCACAGACACUUUACACUGACGCUUGUUGCCGGUGCAGAGAGAAAGGUAAGGACUGGAGGGUUUUCUUAAUUCUUCUGUGUUUUUCUCCUCUCAAUCUUUAACUUUAGCUUUAGCUUUAGCUGUAAAGAUGCCUGAUCGAGCGGCGUGUGAUGGGAUCCGCUCAUGUAGGGGGAAAGUCCUGAGUUCGUUUGAUGAUGUGAACGUGAAGCUCUCAUGGCCUUCAGAUGUGAUCAGUCAUUUCCGCUAGAGCACCAGAGGCCGAGAGGAACCAACUCGCUGAAAAAUCAGUCGAACAUGAUGCGAAACCCUCCAGAGGAGUUUGAGACGCAAAAACCGUGGCUGAUUUUUGAGUCGAUCUCCUGCGAUACUUGCUGAAAGAUAUGAAGAUCAUGUUGAAAUUGUGAGGGUGUGGCUUUGAACUGGUGCAAAACUCACGAACGGAGAAGAGGAAACGGUGGCACGCGACCCAACCCAGCGCUUCGUGAUGUGAAGGGUUUCUACAGGAGAGUGUGUCAUGGUUCAAAACUACAACUCCAGCAGAUGAAAUGUUGUUUAUAUGCAGGUUUGCUCUCCGUUUAGAUGUUGUCCUGUUU